This 513-nucleotide long non-coding RNA is filed under the name Androctonus crassicauda. The record is from RNAcentral. Lineage: Eukaryota; Metazoa; Arthropoda; Arachnida; Scorpiones; Buthidae.
UUAGAAAUAAUAUAAGAGGGAAAUAGGAGAAAUAAAAGGGAAUUUGACGGUCGGGAAGUAAGACCUUUUCAUAAUAAACAUGGUGAAAUAUGGUGAUGCACCCCAUCGUAUUUCGGUCAACUCACGAUCUCCUGUCCCGGUAGUUAUUUAUUGCGUGAACACAUGAAAAUGUCUGGCAAUCAACUGAUGUCCGAAACAACCAAAAGUUAAACAUUCUUUCUCCCUGGGAGAAGGAGCGGGAGAAAGGUCACGUUGGGGUCACAGCUAUUUAAGAGGGUCUCCAGCUAUGAUCCGGGCCUUCGUCAGUAGUUCGCCGUCAUUACCCGCCUCGUUACAACCCUUCAGUAGUAAACCGUCUUCUUUAGUAGAUCCUGCCCGUGAUCCCUGCAACUUCGAGUUCUACACUUUUCCCUUCGAGUCCUCCUCGAUCCUAUUUCUACCGUACUCUACGUUCGCCUUCCGACAUCUUUCCGAGCCAUCUUGUACCGUGUUUGUGUGUGUGUGUGCACGUCU